CCUCCCAGUCACUCCCCUUUGCCCUCCCACAGCAGAUCGAGCGUGCCGGCGCUGGUGUUCGCCGCCUCCUUCCUUAGGCUGCCAUCCCGCAUGUCCAAGCAGCAGAAGCACAACAGGGUGGACGCCAUCACCACCUCCCCGUCCCGGGCCUCCUUCCGCGACGCAUCCCGUAGCGGCGCCCACCGCGGCCCCUGCCGACCGCCCUCGCGGCUGGCUGCUUGCCCGGCGACGACGGCGGCCUCGUCUUCCCCGGAGGCCGUGGUGCCUCAAGGCCGACCUGGAGCCCCCUCCUCGCCCUUCCUCCACCUCUGAGUUGGGGUUCGGUUUGCGUGCAAUGGUGGUGGCGUACGAGGCAAACAAGCUGCUGGUGGUCGAGGACGUGUAGGUGGCGCAGCCGCUGGCCGGCGAGUCUGCAUCAAGGUCCUCUCCACUGUGCUCUGCCACACUGACUACUACACCUAGAGCGGCAAGGUCCGUCACCCUCCAUCCUCCUCGCCCUGCGCUUCCUUGAAUCUAGGUUUCAAUGGCCGCGGUUGCCUAGGGCCUGUAGCCAGCGCUGGCACUGCUGCUAGUCACCACCUCCCCCAACCCCAGCAACUUAUCUUGGAUUUUCCCUACCGUCAGUGUUAUUCCAUUGUGUCAAUGGUUGCGAUGAGACUGAGUAAUUGGGGAUUAAUUGACUUCCAUGUAGCAUUGUACGAGUUGUUCCUUAUAGUGUCGGGUUGGGUGUAGAGUGAAUUGACAUGAUGUAUAGUAGAAAAUGUUUGUGCAAAUCUGAAAGCCUACUGCAUGCCGUAGAGAUUUACUAGAAUUUGUGUUCGUGUCAUGAAAGGGUUUCUUUUGCUAUGCAGGAUCCCGAGGGCCUCUUUCCUUGCAUUCUCGGUGACAAGGAUGCUGGGUAAGCCCACAAAUUUGUGUGAUUUCAGGUAUUAUCAUCCAUAGCUAAAGAUAACUGUGCACUGAUAAGUUUGCUUCCAUAGCUUCUGAUAGAAUUGUUGAGAGUGUCGGCGAAGGAGUGACCGACGUGCAGCCAGGGGGACUGCAAGAUGUGCACUAAGUAAGGAUCCGAUCUGAUUGGGCUCUACUCGUGCUCGUGGUAGAUCGUGUGGUUUGCCACAUGCCUGGCAAGAUGCUCUUGUUGAUUCAUCUUUUAUAGACCCGAAGGAGCCCGUAUGGAAGGCACCUCCUCUCCGGGUGGUGAGAGCGUUGAGGGGUCGUGGGUGCUGCUAAUGGCCAUGUCCGUGGCCGUGCCUGCCAUUACCCUCUCUACAAGGGCACAGCUAGGAAGACGCUCAACAACCAAAUCGUUGUCCACUCCAAGUGGAGGGGACAACUCAAGCGAUAGUUGACAUGGAAAGUGCUAUGGAACAAGAGGUACCAAAAGGUGGAGAACCAAAGAGUGAUGCUGCUAUUGUUGCUGACAUUCUCACUAAAGAAUGUCCCUCCAGCACAUCCUUCACUGGUUGUGUUGUUUUGGUUGGUGCCAUCUUAUGUUACUGGUUACUAGUGCACAAUAUGGACAUGGCCAUAUUAUGAACAUUGGUUUUGUUAUUUUGUUUGGUGCAUCUUAUGAACCUGUGGUGUAAAGAUAAUGCUGGGCCUAAGUUAUUGAAAUCCUGGAGAAUUAUGUUAUUAUUGUCAUUA
Molecule: non-coding RNA, 1644 nt
Organism: Triticum urartu
Lineage: Eukaryota; Viridiplantae; Streptophyta; Magnoliopsida; Poales; Poaceae
Source: RefSeq, a predicted model, not a curated record